This 1014-nucleotide ribosomal RNA is filed under the name uncultured bacterium. RNAcentral describes it as "bacterial SSU rRNA". It matches the Rfam family "Bacterial small subunit ribosomal RNA", at positions 355 to 1375 of the family's 1533-position model. The record is from RNAcentral.
UAGGGAAUUUUCGUCAAUGGGGGAAACCCUGAACGAGCAAUGCCGCGUGAGUGAAGAAGGUCUUCGGAUCGUAAAGCUCUGUUGUAAGUGAAGAACGGCUCAUAGAGGAAAUGCUAUGGGAGUGACGGUAGCUUACCAGAAAGCCACGGCUAACUACGUGCCAGCAGCCGCGGUAAUACGUAGGUGGCAAGCGUUAUCCGGAAUCAUUGGGCGUAAAGGGUGCGUAGGUGGCGUACUAAGUCUGUAGUAAAAGGCAAUGGCUCAACCAUUGUAAGCUAUGGAAACUGGUAUGCUGGAGUGCAGAAGAGGGCGAUGGAAUUCCAUGUGUAGCGGUAAAAUGCGUAGAUAUAUGGAGGAACACCAGUGGCGAAGGCGGUCGCCUGGUCUGUAACUGACACUGAGGCACGAAAGCGUGGGGAGCAAAUAGGAUUAGAUACCCUAGUAGUCCACGCCGUAAACGAUGAGAACUAAGUGUUGGAGGAAUUCAGUGCUGCAGUUAACGCAAUAAGUUCUCCGCCUGGGGAGUAUGCACGCAAGUGUGAAACUCAAAGGAAUUGACGGGGGCCCGCACAAGCGGUGGAGUAUGUGGUUUAAUUCGAAGCAACGCGAAGAACCUUACCAGGCCUUGACAUGGAAACAAAUACCCUAGAGAUAGGGGGAUAAUUAUGGAUCACACAGGUGGUGCAUGGUUGUCGUCAGCUCGUGUCGUGAGAUGUUGGGUUAAGUCCCGCAACGAGCGCAACCCUUGUCGCAUGUUACCAGCAUCAAGUUGGGGACUCAUGCGAGACUGCCGGUGACAAACCGGAGGAAGGUGGGGAUGACGUCAAAUCAUCAUGCCCCUUAUGGCCUGGGCUACACACGUACUACAAUGGCGACCACAAAGAGCAGCGACUUGGUGACAAGAAGCGAAUCUCAUAAAGGUCGUCUCAGUUCGGAUUGAAGUCUGCAACUCGACUUCAUGAAGUCGGAAUCGCUAGUAAUCGCAGAUCAGCAUGCUGCGGUGAAUACGUUCUC